This is an RNA transcript of Theobroma umbraticum, 2283 nucleotides long. It is a transcript of the gene named E3 ubiquitin-protein ligase SINAT5-like, with no coding region annotated. The record is from RefSeq and is a predicted model, not a curated record. Lineage: Eukaryota; Viridiplantae; Streptophyta; Magnoliopsida; Malvales; Malvaceae.
AGGGGAGAAAGAAAUAGAAAAGAAAGGUGUUAUGUUACGUUAAUGUUAAAUAUAUGACUUUAUGAUACCAACAAAAACAAAAAAACAAAAAACAAAAAUUAAAGAAAAAAAAAUGAAAGAGAAAAAAGAGCCAACGAAGAAAAGAACCUCUUUUUAACGAGAGAGAAAAGAGGGCCUGUUUGGUUCUUUGGAAUCCGUCUUUUCUCUCCUAAAUCUUUUCUCUCGUCAUCCCUCAUCUCUUCUCUCCCUCUCUUCUUCUUCCUCUACACUGGAAUUCCGAAAAAAAAAAGGUGAGAGAAAGAGAAAAUUUUGAGAGAAGAAGAAGAGAACAGGAAAAAGCAAAAAAAAAAAAAAAAUUGGGGUGGGAGUGGGGGUUCACCGUUCAUUUUGUAAAUUUCUUUGUAGUUUUGGGUCUGUUUUAAAUAAAUAGUAAUCUGAGAUUUAGGGUGGAGUGUAUGAAUGGAGUUGGAUAGUAUUGAGUGUGUGUCAUCCACAGAUGGAAUGGAUGAGGAUGAGAUCCAUCACCAUAAUCUGCACCAUCCACACCCUCUUCACGGCCACCAUCAAUUCUCAUCUUCAAAGCCUCACAAUGGCACCAACAACACCGCCAAUGCUAAUAGCAUCAACAAUAUUGUGGGUCCUACGGCGAUCGCUCCGGCUACCAGCGUUCAUGAAUUGUUAGAAUGCCCUGUUUGUACCAAUUCUAUGUACCCACCAAUUCAUCAGUGCCACAAUGGACAUACACUUUGUUCUACAUGUAAAACAAGGGUACACAACCGGUGCCCCACUUGUAGACAGGAACUUGGUGAUAUUAGAUGUUUAGCAUUGGAGAAGGUGGCAGAAUCCCUUGAAUUGCCUUGCAAAUACUACAAUUUAGGAUGCCCAGAAAUCUUUCCCUAUUACAGCAAACUCAAACAUGAGGCAAUUUGCAACUACAGACCAUACAAUUGUCCAUAUGCUGGAUCAGAGUGUUCUGUUGUUGGGGAUAUUCCUUUCCUGGUUGCCCAUCUGAGGGAUGACCACAAGGUGGACAUGCACACUGGCUGCACGUUUAACCAUCGUUAUGUGAAGUCCAACCCCCGUGAAGUGGAAAAUGCUACUUGGAUGCUAACAGUCUUCCAUUGUUUUGGUCAAUAUUUCUGCCUUCACUUUGAAGCCUUCCAGCUGGGCAUGGCCCCUGUCUACAUGGCAUUUCUACGUUUCAUGGGUGAUGAGAUUGAGGCUAGGAACUAUAGCUACAGCCUUGAGGUUGGAGCAAAUGGCCGGAAACUUAUAUGGGAAGGUACCCCACGUAGCAUCCGUGAUAGUCACCGGAAAGUCAGGGACAGCCAUGAUGGUCUAAUUAUCCAACGUAACAUGGCACUUUUCUUCUCUGGUGGGGACAGGAAGGAGCUAAAGCUUAGGGUUACUGGAAGGAUAUGGAAGGAACAACAAAAUCCAGAUGCUGGUGUGUGCAUACCAAACUUAUGUAGCUGAGAGAAUUGAUUUUGAUAACUUUUCCUUGAUUUGUUUUGAACGCUUUCUGCUGUGUGUUCUACCUCUGCCAACGCUUUCUGUUUGACCAUAGCUCAUUAAUCCUGUCAUUCUAGCUGUUUACACUUGGUGAUGUCACAAAAUGUGCCAGCUUGAGAUGGAGUUUUUUAUUUCCCCAUGCUCUCCCGGUCACCCCUGCGCAGCUAGACCAAGACAUUGGAAAUCUUAAACAAGACAGUUUAUUACUUUGAUUGCCAUCAAAUCCAUUUAUUGCUGCAAAACCAUCCGUGGCAGCAAACCAACAACUCCUUUCCCCUUGUUUACUGAUGAAAACAUCAAUACACCUUCUCUGCAGCCCCCAUGUACCUGAGUUUGCUAGACUGCUUCUCGUCUUUUCACUUAUAGCAAGUUUACUUAAAGCAAAAGUCUACUAGCGAUGCAAUAUUUCAAUCCAAAAUUUUAGCUAUAAAUAUGGUACGAUACUGGGCUUACAAACCCCUUGUAGAUAGAUAACUUACCUUCAUCCCAUCACAUUAAAUUCUUUGGAGAAACUGAAUCCAGUCACUUCGCACCGGUGCACCAGCGGAGUGCGGUGCAAUAAGAGACGGAUUGCAGCCUGCGAUUCAGAGGGGGAUAAAGCCAAUUUGAGUUGGAACUCAAGGCAAUGCAUUGGUUGUUAGAUCGCUCUCAUGUAUUGCAACUCUGAUGAUAACUGGUUUCUAAGAGUAAUCAUUUGAUUGUUAUAAUGAGGGAGGCUUGAUUUAUGACCCGUGUAAAAUUUUACUCUCUAAUCUCCAUCACUUUUCGUCA